Anguilla anguilla (European eel) is the source of this 404-nucleotide long non-coding RNA. RefSeq lists it as uncharacterized. The record is from RefSeq and is a predicted model, not a curated record. The transcript has 4 exons. NCBI's taxonomy places the organism in Eukaryota, Metazoa, Chordata, Actinopteri, Anguilliformes, Anguillidae.
GGUUGAACCUCCCUGUACACGGGACCAGCUUCAGGAAACGCAACAACAGCCUGGGCCUUCUGAAGUACAGAGAACAGGACUUCCUGUCAUCUGAUCUCGAUCUCCAUUGACCGAGAAAAAAAUGGACAAUGAAGCAUGUGCUUUGUUCCGCCUUCCAAAAACAAAAAUGUUGGGCAUGACAGAAAAUGGUUGUACCAGCCAUUUCAAUUCUGACCUGAUCCUGUAGUGUGAAGGACAAACCAGUGGGGCAUGUUAGUGAAGGUGAUCAACCCUAGAGUGAGGGCUCUGGUUCAGCAGUGAAGAAUGUGCGUAGAGCAGUGGUCUCCAACCCUGGUCCUGGAGAGCUACAGGGUCUGCUGGUUUUUGUUUUCACCUUAAAAUCAGCACCCAGUUGAGACCCAAGA